CCCUUAGAUGUCCGGGGCUGCACGCGCGCUACACUGAAGGAAUCAGCGUGCUAAAACCAUUGUCGAAAGGCAUUGGUAAACCCAUUAAAAUCCUACGUGAUUGGGAUCGGGAAUUGCAAUUAUUUCCCUUGAACGAGGAAUUCCCAGUAAGUGUGGGUCAUAAGCUCGCGUUGAUUACGUCCCUGCCCUUUGUACACACCGCCCGUCGCUGCCCGGGACUGAGCCGUUUCGAGAAAAGCGGGGACUGCUGCUGGCGGGGCUUUCGGGCCUUGGCUUCGGUGGAAACCGCUUUAAUCGCAGUGGCUUGAACCGGGCAAAAGUCGUANCA
RNAcentral lists this ribosomal RNA (328 nucleotides) under uncultured eukaryote. RNAcentral's name for it is "partial 18S ribosomal RNA". It matches the Rfam family "Eukaryotic small subunit ribosomal RNA", at positions 1470 to 1796 of the family's 1831-position model. The record is from RNAcentral.